GAAGCAAGCCAGACCGCCGCUGGUGCAAUUCCGCAAGGACGGGGCGCAAGCCCCCGGGUCGAAAGGCCGCACUGGAGGAAGGUCCGGACUGCACAGGGCAGCGUAGGAGGUAACACCUCUCCGCCGUGAGGCGAGGAUCAGAGCAACAGAGACGAGCCGAUUCAGUUCGGGUGAAACGGGCAAUCUCUACGCGCAGCAACACCAAAUAGGCACACAUUGACCUGGCCCGGGGAGUGUGCGGGUAGGUGGCAUCGAGCCGUUCUGGUGACAGGCGGCCCAGAGGAAUGGCGGUCACGCCGGGCAUCCUUCGGGAUUCCCCGGUGCACAGAAUCCGGCCUACCGGCUUGCUUCACAC
This 355-nucleotide RNase P RNA is filed under the name Sphaerotilus hippei. Its description in RNAcentral is "Bacterial RNase P class A". It matches the Rfam family "Bacterial RNase P class A". From Rfam's summary of the family: Ribonuclease P (RNase P) is a ubiquitous endoribonuclease, found in archaea, bacteria and eukarya as well as chloroplasts and mitochondria. Its best characterised activity is the generation of mature 5'-ends of tRNAs by cleaving the 5'-leader elements of precursor-tRNAs. The record is from Rfam by way of RNAcentral. Lineage: Bacteria; Pseudomonadati; Pseudomonadota; Betaproteobacteria; Burkholderiales; Sphaerotilaceae.